RNAcentral lists this transfer RNA (88 nucleotides) under Myxococcales bacterium. Its description in RNAcentral is "tRNA-Ser". It matches the Rfam family "tRNA". Rfam says of the family: Transfer RNA (tRNA) molecules are approximately 80 nucleotides in length. Lineage: Bacteria; Pseudomonadati; Myxococcota; Myxococcia; Myxococcales. The record is from RNAcentral.
GGAGGGGUGGCCGAGUGGUCGAAGGCGGCGGUCUUGAAAACCGUUAGGGUAUACGCCCUCGUGGGUUCGAAUCCCACCUCCUCCGCCA